AAGAACUUUGUGGUUUUAUGAUUGUAGUAAGAACUUUGUGGUUUAUGAUUGUAGGCCUGAGGAUGGUUAGUAGGAACAUUGUGGUUUUCUGUAUAUGAUUGUAGGCCAGUGAGAUCUUAGGUUAAAAUCCCAUUAUUGAGAUCUAAUGCGGUCCAAGGUCUCCAUCCUCGUACCACCCUGCAAUCACUUUAUGACCAGAGGGGUUUCUUUCGAUUCAUUUUUUCUCUCAAACCUUUUAUAUAUAUAUAUAUCUCUCUCUAAACGGUCAACCGGCCCAAGCAGGGAGGAUUUCCGGCUACAGUACUGUGAUUCCGAAUUUAGUAUUUGAGAUCGUGGCAUGAUGGAACAGAGGAUGAGGGCCCAUUGUACUCGAAAGACAAACAUGUCUAAGAAUUAGUGGCACAAAGAAAGGAGAGGCUACAAAUUUAUAUUGAUGAGUCAUUAAGCGCCAUUCGGGCGUGAACGAGAAAUUGUAGAAGGACGGGGUUAUUGCUACUAAUAGAACUGGCAGAGCAACACCCCAGAUAUAUUGAUCAUCUGUUGAUGGUGGCUAUGGAGGAAAGGUGGCGUCCCGAAAUCAACCGUCCAUUUGGCAGUAUGUAUUGGAGAUAUGAUGUCAACAUUGUAUGAUACACCGCAGAUUCACCGACUCAAAGUCACUGGGGAUCCUGUGCUGACAAGAGACUGCUAGCCGUAACAUACAUACUUGAAUCAUUUGGUCUGAGAUUGCCUGGAGGAGGGAAGACUUUUGACACUAUAGUUCAGUUGGUUGAGGCAGAAUUUUAUAGAGUUACCUGAGAAUGCGCACAUAGGCAGGCAACACUACUUUUUUCCAGUUCGAAGGGCAAUGAAGUGCCCAGGAGAUACCUAACUUUAUUCAAGGAUCGUACAUCACUUUGGUGGCUCUGCUACCCUAUUUUAGGUGUAAUGGGACCCACAUGAAGCAUAGAAAGACCUCGGCCAUGAGGAUGAUGACGUGGAGUUGGAAGACACAAGCGGUUUGAGGUUCUCAUUCUUGAACCGCUAUGUUUUCAAAAAAAUAAGGAGCGGUCCAAAGAUGGGGACCUUAGACCAGCCUAAAACUGAGCUCUGCUCAGUCCAGGGGUCAAUCCGAGGUUCCCAUCCUCAUACUGUUGUUUUUUUGAAAAGAAAAGAAGGAUCGGCCCAAGAAUUAUAACCUCAUACCGCUUGGGCACUACCUCUAAAACUUGGGGCACUGCCUUACUAAAGGAAAACACUAAAAAAAAAAAAAAAAAAAUACCAAAUUCAGUCCGAAGAUGAUAUCCUCAAAUCGACGGGUAGUUUUGAAAAAAAAAAUAUAGUGGGGUGACUGACUUUCUUUGUAAUUUCCAGCUAUAAGAAAGGCAUUUUGUAUUUUCUCUAUUUUUUUUAAAGUCCUUACGUAAAUCGCUCUUUACUCAAACCUUAUUAAAUUUACCAAACUAAUUAGUCCUGUCCCCUGUCAUCUCUCACACUUUUUUAAUUGUCUCCCAAAAUACAAAGAUUUUAUGAUCUCCGAAACCCUAGCCAGCAUUUACGGGAGCAAACAUGUGAAUAGUUCCAUGUUUCAUUGGAUUGCACGUUCUCUAAACAACCCUACGACGACACAUUGCUCCAACCAGGGAGGGUUUUUCUCAGCCCUUAAAUCAGGGGAAAGCCCUAAUCAGGGGAGGGUUUUACAAUCGAAGACUUAAAAGCUGCCCAUUAUAUAUACAAGGCUCAAACCCACUUUCUAAUAAGAGAAGAAUAGAGAAAUCAACAAAAAAUCAGACAUGGGUUUUACUGCUUCUUCAAUUGCUUACCUUUUUUUCUCUCUAGCUCUUCUAGUGAGAGAAAUUGUCCCAGUGUCUGGCGCAGAGGUGUCCCACCACUCGCCACCCCCAUCUCACCACCACCACCACCAUGGCCACCACCACCACCCUCAUUUUCCACCACCCAAAUCCGCUUUCAACCAUGCUCCACCCCCUCAUCCCGUUAAAAUCGCUCCCGAGCACCAUGCACCACCGCCCAAAAUCGCUCCCUUGCACCAUGCACCACCCCCUAAUACUGCUCCUGUGCAUCAUGCACCACCCCCCAAGACUGCUCCUGUGAACCACGCACCGCCUCCAAAGUGAGGCAUUACAGACUGCAUUUGAUGGCCAUUAUCACCCACUACUUUAUAUUGAUUCUGCAAUAAUGUGAGUGCCUUGGUGUAGAUUUUCUAUGUUUCUUAUUUGUUGGGUUUUAAGUGGUGUUGAAUUGCUUCAUUGGUCUUCCUUCAUGUUCGUGCUGAGUUUCUUGCUGACAGAAGGUGCUCUCAGAGUCUGUGUCCUCAGAGGUCUCUAUGAAUGUAAUGUAAUGGUCGUUUAAUAAAGUGGGCCGCUGUCUGUGUCUUGAGUGUGUCACUUGAGAAUACCUGUUUGU
This is a long non-coding RNA of Amborella trichopoda, 2403 nucleotides long. RefSeq lists it as uncharacterized. The record is from RefSeq and is a predicted model, not a curated record. Lineage: Eukaryota; Viridiplantae; Streptophyta; Magnoliopsida; Amborellales; Amborellaceae.